GUGGGGAAUUUUGGACAAUGGGCGAAAGCCUGAUCCAGCAAUGCCGCGUGUGUGAAGAAGGCCUUCGGGUUGUAAAGCACUUUUGUCCGGAAAGAAAUCCUUUGGGUUAAUACCUCGGAGGGAUGACGGUACCGGAAGAAUAAGGACCGGCUAACUACGUGCCAGCAGCCGCGGUAAUACGUAGGGUCCGAGCGUUAAUCGGAAUUACUGGGCGUAAAGCGUGCGCAGGCGGUUUUGUAAGACAGAUGUGAAAUCCCCGGGCUCAACCUGGGAAGUGCAUUCGUGACUGCAAGGCUAGAGUGUGUCAGAGGGAGGUGGAAUUCCGCGUGUAGCAGUGAAAUGCGUAGAGAUGCGGAGGAACACCGAUGGCAAAGGCAGCCUCCUGGGAUAACACUGACGCUCAGGCACGAAAGCGUGGGGAGCAAACAGGAUUAGAAACCCCAGUAGUCC
RNAcentral lists this ribosomal RNA (450 nucleotides) under uncultured bacterium. RNAcentral describes it as "partial 16S ribosomal RNA". It matches the Rfam family "Bacterial small subunit ribosomal RNA", at positions 354 to 796 of the family's 1533-position model. The record is from RNAcentral.